CCCCCGCCGCCCUCGCCCAAGUCCCCACCCGUCGCCCGUUACGUUACACCGCGCCGCCUCUCUAUCUCCUCCUCCACCAUGCGCGAGUCCCCGCGUGGCGUGUCGGAAAUGGCAUACCACCAUAACCUUACAUUACUACUCCGAGCACCACACGGGCUACCAGUACUUGCUGUACCCCUCUGUUUCAACUCCCAAAGGCUUUAGCCUUAGCCUCUUCUUGUUCUACUGUAGAGAAGCGAUAUGACGAACCGGAGCUCGUCGCCGUGGGGCUUUCAGGAGGCCGGAGAGGACGACGAUGACGCGAUUCCCCGGCAACCGUCGGCUCUGAUCGUGUCCUCCGAUAUGGACUACUUCGCGGAAAUCCUCGGCCCCCUGUCUCCCGUCGGCGACGCCCACUUCUCUCUGCACGCCACCGCCACCUCCGGGGUGGUCGGCGUGGGGGAGGAGGGGGAGAGCUCGGGAGAGUUCGAGAAGGGGAGUUCGAGCGGGACCAAGAGCGACGCCAUGGGCUUGGAGGACCCUCGCAGCGGCCCGAGUCAAGAGGUUGAAAGGAAGCGGGAGAUUUCGAGGAAAAGGAAACGGAAUCGGACGUCGCAGAUGCACAACCAAACAGAGAGGAGGCGGAGGGAUAAAAUAACAGCAAAAUUGAAGGCAUUGCAGGAGCUCAUACCCGGUUCCCACAAGUUGGACACAGCAUCUAUGCUGGAUGAGGCUAUUGCAUACAUGAAAUCCCUUCAGCAACAAAUUCAGAUCAUGUCAGGUGCCGCUCUGUAUCAAGCUCCAUUUCUGUCACCUGCUGCAGUGCAGUGCCUGGGCGCACCUCAAUUCCCUCCAUUCUCAUCUUCGGGACCAUAUAAUGCCAUGAGCCUGGGAUUCGGAAUGGGAAUGAGUAGCAUCGCUUGUUCAAUUCGGCCCCCUCUUUUGUCCUCCCUUUCUCCAUUGCCAGCCACGAGUUUGCUUCCCAUGCCCACCUUAAACUCCAUUCCGCACUACCGUUCACCAUUGCGUGGGCAUUACAUGCCUUUCGCUUCAUCACCAGAAUUUCCAGCAUCUGUGGUCACGCAAGCCGCUCGUAACCAAAGUUCGCAGGCGGAGUCCUUCAGUUCAAUAAAUCAAGCAGAAACUGGUCGUCAAGAGAUGCAGUCAGUCAUUGCAGAUGACCUACAAAUCCCAGCGAUCACCCAGGUCUAAGUUCACAUGUUCUCCCUCAGUCUUUCCAAUUGCCUACUGACUCUAGCUUUUCACUAUUUUUCUCUUCUUUCUCAAGUUAAUUGACGUGGGACAAUUGCAAGAGGGCAAUGAACCUGACGCUUUGUAGGAGGCCAAGUAGAUGAGCUUUGGUUGAAGAUGAACGUAUGUACAGAUGUUGCUGUCAUAACCAGACAUUAUUUCCUUAUGUAUAUGCUGCUGAGGUUUACCGAAUCUUAGGGUAAUCUGAGAUAAAUUUUGUCA
Phoenix dactylifera (date palm) is the source of this 1452-nucleotide non-coding RNA. The record is from RefSeq and is a predicted model, not a curated record. NCBI's taxonomy places the organism in Eukaryota, Viridiplantae, Streptophyta, Magnoliopsida, Arecales, Arecaceae.